Molecule: small RNA, 215 nt
Filed under: Mycoplasmoides pneumoniae M129
Lineage: Bacteria; Bacillati; Mycoplasmatota; Mycoplasmoidales; Mycoplasmoidaceae
Description: Mycoplasma pneumoniae M129 ncRNA
Source: RNAcentral
AGUCCAGUGGGACCGUAAAACUUAUGAGUAGAAAAGGCUAGGAAGUCGAUCUGGGUUUUGGCAAUGUCAAUUUGCUUGUGCUGCACCGUUUGCACUGCAUCCACGGCUACAAAAGCUUUAGGAUUGACUUGUUUGAGGUAAUCGGCAAUUUGAGCAAAGUCAAUUGAAUUGCCAAACAAAUUGGAAGUAGCGGUAAUGGCUACUACUUUAGUUUU